CAUAAGAGAUUAGAAAAUAUAAAUUCAGAUCUAUGAUUUUUACACGGGGCGCGACAACGCUUGCCGCGUGGCAACCAGCGCAUGGCAACAACGUGGUAGCCAAUCCCGCUUUUCUGUAAUCGCGCGCGUAUCUACUUUUGUUUCUCUCUCCCGCGAUCUCGCGCGCGCUUCGUGCCUCGUGGUGCUAGUCGUGCCUCGUGCCUCGUGUCUCGUGUGCCGUGUGAUGGUGUGGUCGGUGUGCGCCUCGUGCCUCUGCAAUUUGAUCCUGAUUUGUACCCUGGGUUCGAUAAUCUAGACACUAGAUUAUCGAACCUCGAGCCAUUAGCAUUUUGGCGAGCAUUUCUUUAUCUUUUGCCAAAUCACGUAACAAAUACUUGCCGAAAUGCUCAUGACUCGAAGUUCUGUUUGAUUCAAUAAUCUGGAUGAACAUUAUCAUAUACAAUUUACGCGUACUAAGUAAAGCUACGUUCCGUUUCACGCAUGAUGCGCAUGAUGUAUUCGUCCUUGUAUCGGACAUUCUAUGAAAUGGUAUCCGGUGACAAUCCUAGCAGCCUUGCGAUCGAAGAUAAUUCUAAGUUAAAGUCUAAACGGAACACUAUCAACAAGCUAAAUACCAUCCUUCAAGGUUAUUAAAGACGACAAAGGCGUUUGGAAGAAAAACUCAAGCAAGCUUCGAACAUGAUGGCACGCGACAUGACGUUUCAAGUAACCUCAGAAAAGUACAAGAUAUCGAUUAGCACUAUUCGCUUCUACAUAGUCAGAGAGGGCAUUCUGCAGAGGAGAAAACGCGCGGCCGUGGCUCCAGUAAUCUCAGUAUGAACAGUCAACCGAGUAGCCCCAUCAGUCUACCGUAUCAGAUGAUGUAUUAUCGUUUGUCAGAGAGCCUAAAUUCCAGCCUACAGUAGUGCUGUAUAAAAAAGCAGUGAGUUUUUUUUUAGAUUUCGGUUUUGACUCGGACAAAUUUUUUAUCGCCACAUCAUAGAGCUGUUCCAGACCGUCUUGUCAAUUUUUAUACUUUAGCUCCUUUACCAAGUAUUUUAUUUUCCUUUUUUUUUCAUUUUUAAUUUGCGUCUCAUUAUUCAUUUGUACUCGUAGAGGCGCGUUCACACGCUGGUUUACAAGACUUUUAUGUUCACAUAAUUUGAGUCUCGAACAGCUCCGCUCAUGUAUAUACAAAGAAGAUACCAUAUGUAAAAGUUCGGCACACAUUAAGUUAAGAAACUUGCAGACGAUCGUGUCUUACACCAUGUUUAUGUUAGAUUUAGUGCCCUUAGAAAUACUGCUUGAAUCCCAGUUUUUUUUUUAGUACGAAGAUACUGGUUAUUAUAGAGUGUACUGGAGUACGAUCGUAUACUUACAUGUAUUAUAAUAACGCUAUGUAGAGCCAGUGGCAAGUGACGCAGAUGAUAUUCUCGAUGUAAUUUUCGGUUCGCCUCUUUUAUGAGAUUCGCGAAUAGUGAAAACGGAUUCGUUUGCCAGUAGAGUGAUUCUUUGAUAAAAUCAAAAGACGCGAAUCAUUACGAAACAUGAUUAUUUCUAUAAUGCAUUAUAUAAAUAAAUUGGAUAAAAUGGUAGAUGUGAAAUAAAUAAGUGAUACAGAAUGGUCGCUUAUCAAAUAAGAGAGGAAGAAAGGGGGUUUGUUUUUCGAUCCUGUCUUUUAGCAUAAGUUAUUUUCUGAGUUUAUUAUUCUUCUAAAACUAAAAGACGCAAACAAAUUCGAAAAAAAUUUAGUUGUGUUCUUCGGAAAAUUUAGAGCUGAAAAAAAGACAGGAACGUCUUUUUUAUACUUUCUCCCUAACACGUUAACUUUCUUUGAUUUCUCUGAUAUGUGCUACAUUUUCUAAGAUCCUCGAUUUACUCGGCUGUUUGGAAGGUAUUCUAUUUCUUUUUUUUUUUAUUCUUUUCAGCUUAUUUUUUGGACAAUAAAUUUUCGCAAAUCUACUGCAAAUUAUGAAUCGAGAAUAGAUUGUGGAAAAUAUUCAGUUUUUUUAUAUUUUAAACAAUUAUUAACUAUUUCCAUAUUUUGUAAAACGAAACGAAUGUACAGAUUCAUUGUAAACAUACCUAUAUGUUUUUAUGUGCAUAUGAUAAUUAUAAUAUUGAUGUUAAUUAUAAAAUUCUGAAUUUGUUUAUUGCAAUACAUACGUUUAAUUGGAUUUCAAGUUAUUAGAAGUUCUAUUUCCAUAUUUUGUGACACGAAACGAAUGUACAGAUACAUUGUAAACAAACCUAUAUGUUUUUAUGUGCAUAUGAUAAUUAUAACAUUGAUGUUAAUUAUAAAAUUCUGAAAUUGUUUAUAGCAAUACAUACAUUCUAUUUUCAUAUUGUGUGAAACGAAACGAACGUACAGAUAUAUUGUGAACAUACCUAUGUUUUACAUAUUUAAAGUAUGUUAAAAUAAAAUAAAUUAAUUUCAAAUCUA
Molecule: long non-coding RNA, 2422 nt
Organism: Solenopsis invicta (red fire ant)
Lineage: Eukaryota; Metazoa; Arthropoda; Insecta; Hymenoptera; Formicidae
Exons: 2
Source: RefSeq, a predicted model, not a curated record